AGUGAACGCUGACGGUAGGCCUAACACAUGCAAGUCGAACGGCAGCACAGGAGAGCUUGCUCUCUGGGUGGCGAGUGGCGGACGGGUGAGGAAUACAUCGGAAUCUACUUUUUCGUGGGGGAUAACGUAGGGAAACUUACGCUAAUACCGCAUACGACCUACGGGUGAAAGCAGGGGACCUUCGGGCCUUGCGCGAUUGAAUGAGCCGAUGUCGGAUUAGCUAGUUGGCGGGGUAAAGGCCCACCAAGGCGACGAUCCGUAGCUGGUCUGAGAGGAUGAUCAGCCACACUGGAACUGAGACACGGUCCAGACUCCUACGGGAGGCAGCAGUGGGGAAUAUUGGACAAUGGGCGCAAGCCUGAUUCAGCCAUACCGCGUGGGUGAAGAAGGCCUUCGGGUUGUAAAGCCCUUUUGUUGGGAAAGAAAUCCAGCUGGCUAAUACCCGGUUGGGAUGACGGUACCCAAAGAAUAAGCACCGGCUAACUUCGUGCCAGCAGCCGCCGUAA
This 506-nucleotide ribosomal RNA is filed under the name uncultured bacterium. Its description in RNAcentral is "partial 16S ribosomal RNA". It matches the Rfam family "Bacterial small subunit ribosomal RNA", at positions 29 to 523 of the family's 1533-position model. The record is from RNAcentral.